GGGGAAUUCGUCUAGUGGUAGGACGGCUGCUUUGCAAGCAGCUCACAGGAGUUCGAAUCUCCUAUUCUCCACCA
This 74-nucleotide transfer RNA is filed under the name Aeromonas veronii. RNAcentral describes it as "tRNA-Ala". It matches the Rfam family "tRNA". From Rfam's summary of the family: Transfer RNA (tRNA) molecules are approximately 80 nucleotides in length. Their secondary structure includes four short double-helical elements and three loops (D, anti-codon, and T loops). Further hydrogen bonds mediate the characteristic L-shaped molecular structure. tRNAs have two regions of fundamental functional importance: the anti-codon, which is responsible for specific mRNA codon recognition, and the 3' end, to which the tRNAs corresponding amino acid is attached (by aminoacyl-tRNA synthetases). tRNAs cope with the degeneracy of the genetic code in two manners: having more than one tRNA (with a specific anti-codon) for a particular amino acid; and 'wobble' base-pairing, i.e. permitting non-standard base-pairing at the 3rd anti-codon position. Lineage: Bacteria; Pseudomonadati; Pseudomonadota; Gammaproteobacteria; Aeromonadales; Aeromonadaceae. The record is from RNAcentral.